UACGAAGGGGGGCUAGCGUUGUUCGGAAUUACUGGGCGUAAAGCGCGCGCAGGCGGUCUUCCAAGUCAGUGGUGAAAGCCCGGAGCUCAACUCCGGAACUGCCAUUGAAACUGUAAGACUUGAGGACGAGAGAGGUGAGUGGAAUUCCCCAGUGUAGAGGUGAAAUUCGUAGAUAUUGGGAAGAACACCAGUGGCGAAGGCGGCUCACUGGCUCGUAUCUGACGCUCAGGCGCGUCAGCGUGGGGAUCAAACAGG
Molecule: ribosomal RNA, 255 nt
Filed under: uncultured bacterium
Lineage: Bacteria
Description: partial 16S ribosomal RNA
Rfam family: Bacterial small subunit ribosomal RNA
Source: RNAcentral